Long non-coding RNA from Oncorhynchus nerka (sockeye salmon), 812 nucleotides. RefSeq lists it as uncharacterized. Lineage: Eukaryota; Metazoa; Chordata; Actinopteri; Salmoniformes; Salmonidae. The transcript has 2 exons. The record is from RefSeq and is a predicted model, not a curated record.
GUAUACAGAUCUAAAUGUUGUUAGCCAAUCACAGACUGUGUUGUUACCAGUUCCACAUCAGACAACCAAUAAAAGUUGUGUCCACGGCUUUCAGAGGAGUUCAUAGGUGCUAUUCGGAAUCCUUGGGAUGUCCCUUCAAUCGAAUAGAGCAGUUCAUAGACUUCCCCAGAGGUUCGUGCUAUUCGGGAUGUCCAUACCUCUAUCAAGUAUAAAUGUACAUUGGUUAAGUUUAGUGUUAACUUAGGGUUCAGGGUAAGGACGUCCCAAGGAAUCCGGAUUGCGGUGACCGUUCAUAGAGUGAGAGACUGGCACAGUAUUUGAGAGCUCGGCGGCGACACAGACUUAUUUUUUAUAAACUGCAGAAGCGAUUUGAGUGUCUGCCUCAGAUAGUUUCAUUAGAGACGAUGAAAAUAAUUACCCAGAUGUACUUGAUCCAAUUGAGGAUCAAGAUGUGAUGAGCCAGAUCAACCACUCAGCUUCAAUGCAGCUGUUCAACCCACCACCCUCCCACUGCUCUUCCUCCACAAGUAACCACAUCCUCUUCUCCUGUUCAACUACUGUGCCACCACACUAAAAAUGACUGUACAUAUACCCCUGUGCCCAUCUCAGUGUAACAUGAUCCAUCCAAGGCCUCAGCUGGAUGCCUGGAAUGUAAGCAAGAUGCUAUAGUGUGUGUGUGAUGUAUGUAUGUAUGUAUGUAUGUAUGUAUGUAUGGAGUUCCAAGUAAAGACUUGAGAAGAUGGCAAAGGAAAUAGUGAUGAGAGUGAGAGCAUACAGUAUGGAAAUAAAGACCCCUUGAGAUCUAAAAUGAG